CCUACGGGAGGCAGCAGUGGGGAAUAUUGCACAAUGGGGGAAACCCUGAUGCAGCGACGCCGCGUGAGUGAAGAAGGAAUUCGGUAUGUAAAGCUCUAUCAGCAGGGAAGAAAAUGACGGUACCUGAGGAAUAAGCCCCGGAUAACUCCGUGCCAGCAGCCGCGGUAAUACGUAGGGGGCAAGCGUUAUCCGGAUUUACUGGGGGUAAAGGGAGCGUAGACGGGUGUGCAAGUCUGGAGUGAAAGCCGGGGGCUCAACCCCCGAACUGCUCUGGAAACUGUACGGCUGGAGUGCAGGAGAGGUAAGUGGAAUUCCUGGUGUAGCGGUGAAAUCCGUAGAUAUUAGGAGGAACACCAGUGGCGAAGGCGGCUUACUGGACUGUAACUGACGUUGAUGCUCGAAAGCGUGGGUAGCAAACAGGAUUAGAUAUCCCUGUAGUC
Molecule: ribosomal RNA, 440 nt
Filed under: uncultured bacterium
Lineage: Bacteria
Description: partial 16S ribosomal RNA
Rfam family: Bacterial small subunit ribosomal RNA
Source: RNAcentral